AAGCCAACUCUAGCCCUACCACAACCAUAACAUAACAACAAAACCCCACUCAGUACAUAAACUAAAACAUUCUAUAAACCUAGUAUAGGAGAUAGAAAAGUAACCAUAAGGCGCCAUAGAGAUCUCGUACCGUAAGGGAAUGAUGAAAUACUAGUGAAAACCAAAGCAACAAGCAGCAAAGAUUACCCCUUGUACCUUUUGCAUCAUGAUUUAGCAAGAACACCCAAGCAAAGUGCCCUUAAGUCUGCCCCCCGAAACUCAAGCGAGCUACUUGCAAGCAGCUACCAUGAGCGAACCCGUCUCUGUUGCAAAAGAGUGGGAUGACUUGCCAGUAGAGGUGAAAAGCCAAACGAGCUGAGUGAUAGCUGGUUGUCCACAAAACGGGUUUAAGCCCCCCCUUGACUACUCCGAAUGGAGAACAAAUAAACCCCAAAUGUAGAACUCAAGAGUAAUUUAAAGGGGGUACAGCCCCUUUAAAAAAGAACUCAACCUUACCUAGUGGAUAAGCCAACCCUACAUUCAACCUGUGGGCCCUCAAGCAGCCACCAACAAAGAGUGCGUCAAAGCUCGCAACCCAAAAAAUAUGAAAACACCACGAAUCCCUUAAUGCUAGUGGACUAACCUAUGCCUAUAGGAGCAUUAAUGCUAGAAUGAGUAAUUUGGGAUUUUUCCCUCCAGGCGCAAGCUUACAUAACAAUUAACAGACCUGAUACAUCCAACCCAUGACCAAGUAUCAAACCCACUGUUGACCCCACACCGGAGCGCCCAUAAGAAAGAUUUAAACCUGCAAAAGGAACUAGGCAAACUACAGGCCCGACUGUUUACCAAAAACAUAGCCUUCAGCAAAACAAGUAUUGAAGGUGAUGCCUGCCCAGUGACAUCACGUUUAACGGCCGCAGUAUCCUAACUGUGCGAAGGUAGCGCAAUCAAUUGUCCCAUAAAUCGGGACUUGUAUGAACGGCUAAACGAGGUCUUAACUGUCUCUUGCAGGUAAUCAAUGAAAUUGAUCUCCUCGUGCAAAAGCGAGGAUGAGCCCAUAAGACGAGAAGACCCUGUGGAACUUAAAGAUCAGGGGCCACCUGACACCAACUACAACCUACCAGGAAUACCAAUUUACCCACGCUGGCUCCCAUCUUUUGGUUGGGGCGACCUUGGAGAAAAAUAAAACCUCCAAACACAGGAUCAAAAAUCCUUACUAAGAGCAACCCCUCAACGUACUACAAAGCAACCAGACCCAAUACAAUUGAUCAAUGGACCAAGCUACCCCAGGGAUAACAGCGCAAUCCCCCUCAAGAGCCCGUAUCGACAGGGGGGUUUACGACCUCGAUGUUGGAUCAGGACAUCCUAAUGGUGCAGCCGCUAUUAAGGGUUCGUUUGUUCAACGAUUAAUAGUCCUACGUGAUCUGAGUUCAGACCGGAGUAAUCCAGGUCGUUUCUAUCUAUGCAUGUAUUUUUCCCAGUACGAAAGGACCGGAAAAAUAGGGCCAACACUACUAAGCGCGCCCUCCCCCCAAGCAAUGAAACCAACUAAACUGCCUAAAGGGACCAAACUCACUCCCACACAUCCUAUAAAAGGAC
Molecule: ribosomal RNA, 1578 nt
Filed under: Upupa epops (Eurasian hoopoe)
Lineage: Eukaryota; Metazoa; Chordata; Aves; Bucerotiformes; Upupidae
Description: 16S ribosomal RNA
Rfam family: Bacterial large subunit ribosomal RNA
Source: RNAcentral